This 118-nucleotide ribosomal RNA is filed under the name Blautia obeum. RNAcentral also lists the same sequence under 1 other name. Lineage: Bacteria; Bacillati; Bacillota; Clostridia; Lachnospirales; Lachnospiraceae. The record is from RNAcentral.
UCUGGUGGCGAUGCGCUUAGGGGAAACACCCGUUCCCAUCCCGAACACGACGGUUAAGACCUAAGCGGCCGAUGGUACUGCAUUGGAGACGAUGUGGGAGAGCAGGUGGUCGCCAGAU